This 277-nucleotide ribosomal RNA is filed under the name uncultured prokaryote. RNAcentral's name for it is "partial 16S ribosomal RNA". It matches the Rfam family "Bacterial small subunit ribosomal RNA", at positions 524 to 801 of the family's 1533-position model. The record is from RNAcentral.
UACGUAGGGGCAAGCGUUGUCCGGAAUGACUGGGCGUAAAGGGCGCGUAGACGGCUUUUUAAGUCUGGAGUGAAAGUCCUGCUUUCAAGGUGGGAAGUGCUUUGGAGACUGGGGAGCUUGAGUGCGGAAGAGGUAAGUGGAAUUCCCAGUGUAGCGGUGAAAUGCGUAGAGAUUGGGAGGAACACCAGUGGCGAAGGCGACUUACUGGGCCGUAACUGACGUUGAUGCGCGAAAGCGUGGGGAGCGAACAGGAUUAGAUACCCUGGUAGUCCCUGAG